Molecule: ribosomal RNA, 496 nt
Filed under: uncultured bacterium
Lineage: Bacteria
Description: partial 16S ribosomal RNA
Rfam family: Bacterial small subunit ribosomal RNA
Source: RNAcentral
GAUGAACGCUGGCGGCGUGCCUAAUACAUGCAAGUCGAGCGAACAGACGAGGAGCUUGCUCCUCUGACGUUAGCGGCGGACGGGUGAGUAACACGUGGAUAACCUACCUAUAAGACUGGGAUAACUUCGGGAAACCGGAGCUAAUACCGGAUAAUAUAUUGAACCGCAUGGUUCAAUAGUGAAAGACGGUUUUGCUGUCACUUAUAGAUGGAUCCGCGCCGCAUUAGCUAGUUGGUAAGGUAACGGCUUACCAAGGCAACGAUGCGUAGCCGACCUGAGAGGGUGAUCGGCCACACUGAAACUGAGACACGGUCCAGACUCCUACGGGAGGCAGCGGUAGGAAAUCUUCCGCAAUGGGCGAAAGCCUGACGGAGCAACGCCGCGUGAGUGAUGAAGGUCUUCGGAUCGUAAAACUCUGUAUUAGGGAAGAACAAAUGUGUAAGUAACUAUGCACGUCUUGACGGUACCUAAUCAGAAAGCCACGGCUAACUACGUG